GCCUCUGUAGCUCAGUUGGUUAGAGCGCUGCACCGGAAUCACAGGGCCGCAGGUUCGACUCCUGCCAGGGACC
This 73-nucleotide transfer RNA is filed under the name Paramuricea clavata. It matches the Rfam family "tRNA". Rfam says of the family: Transfer RNA (tRNA) molecules are approximately 80 nucleotides in length. Their secondary structure includes four short double-helical elements and three loops (D, anti-codon, and T loops). Lineage: Eukaryota; Metazoa; Cnidaria; Anthozoa; Malacalcyonacea; Plexauridae. The record is from Rfam by way of RNAcentral.